Eptesicus fuscus (big brown bat) is the source of this 329-nucleotide long non-coding RNA. RefSeq lists it as uncharacterized. The record is from RefSeq and is a predicted model, not a curated record. The transcript is spliced from 3 exons. Lineage: Eukaryota; Metazoa; Chordata; Mammalia; Chiroptera; Vespertilionidae.
CUUACUAGUUAUGAGACUUUUGCCCAGGCCUUUGAACUCAGCCCAAGGUUCAUGAAGCCUGAUAAUAACACGGGAGAAUUAUUCACUCAGAACGAAAGCUCCAGAAUGCAUUCAGAGCAGUUGGAAGCAGAUACAAUUACAUCACGUGAAGUUCUUUUAUGACUGCUGGAGUUGCUCUGAGGAAAACUUAGAACCAUCUCAGCUUCCAGAACCACUCUCCAUAACCCAGGAGAAUAGCCUCACACAGCCUCAAGACUCUGUGACCUCCACUCAAGUCUGCCCUUUUUACCUAUUCCAGCAGGUUUAGGCAUCACUUCUCUCUGUCAUUG